This 212-nucleotide long non-coding RNA is filed under the name Monodelphis domestica (gray short-tailed opossum). RNAcentral describes it as "lncRNA (ENSMODG00000049222.1)". Lineage: Eukaryota; Metazoa; Chordata; Mammalia; Didelphimorphia; Didelphidae. The record is from RNAcentral.
AUCCAUAGAAUUAGGAGAUGGAGUAUCUGUGGCGAGAAAAAGCAAAAAGCUACCAGGGAGCUUGAGCUGGCUAUUCUCUUAUUCAUGGAAGUUCUGAGCGGUCGUGGCUAUGUUGAUAUGAUGUCUGUGCUGAGUUCAGCAUUGUUGUGGUGAGCUCCUGGGAAAAGAGGGCACCAGGUUGUCUAAGGAAGCAGCAAACUGGCCUAGGGUUA